This 56-nucleotide microRNA precursor is filed under the name Monodelphis domestica (gray short-tailed opossum). RNAcentral's name for it is "microRNA mdo-mir-12411 precursor". Lineage: Eukaryota; Metazoa; Chordata; Mammalia; Didelphimorphia; Didelphidae. The record is from miRBase by way of RNAcentral.
UGCCAGGCCCGGGAGUGCAGGGAAGCUCAGGGCCUCCUCUCUUGUCUCCUGGCAGG